RNAcentral lists this ribosomal RNA (877 nucleotides) under uncultured Pseudomonas sp. RNAcentral's name for it is "bacterial SSU rRNA". It matches the Rfam family "Bacterial small subunit ribosomal RNA", at positions 9 to 873 of the family's 1533-position model. Lineage: Bacteria; Pseudomonadati; Pseudomonadota; Gammaproteobacteria; Pseudomonadales; Pseudomonadaceae. The record is from RNAcentral.
GAGUUUGAUCAUGGCUCAGAUUGAACGCUGGCGGCAGGCCUAACACAUGCAAGUCGAGCGGAUGAAGAGGGCUUGCUCUCUGAUUCAGCGGCGGACGGGUGAGUAAUGCCUAGGAAUCUGCCUGAUAGUGGGGGACAACGUUUCGAAAGGAACGCUAAUACCGCAUACGUCCUACGGGAGAAAGCAGGGGACCUUCGGGCCUUGCGCUAUCAGAUGAGCCUAGGUCGGAUUAGCUAGUUGGUGAGGUAACGGCUCACCAAGGCGACGAUCCGUAACUGGUCUGAGAGGAUGAUCAGUCACACUGGAACUGAGACACGGUCCAGACUCCUACGGGAGGCAGCAGUGGGGAAUAUUGGACAAUGGGCGAAAGCCUGAUCCAGCCAUGCCGCGUGUGUGAAGAAGGUCUUCGGAUUGUAAAGCACUUUAAGUUGGGAGGAAGGGCAUUAACCUAAUACGUUAGUGUUUUGACGUUACCGACAGAAUAAGCACCGGCUAACUUCGUACCAGCAGCCGCGGUAAUACGAAGGGUGCAAGCGUUAAUCGGAAUUACUGGGCGUAAAGCGCGCGUAGGUGGUUUGUUAAGUUGAAUGUGAAAGCCCCGGGCUCAACCUGGGAACUGCAUCCAAAACUGGCAAGCUAGAGUAUGGCAGAGGGUGGUGGAAUUUCCUGAAUCACUAGUGAAUUCGCGGCCGCCUGCAGGUCGACCAUAUGGGAGAGCUCCCAACGCGUUGGAUGCAUAGCUUGAGUAUUCUAUAGUGUCACCUAAAUAGCUUGGCGUAAUCAUGGUCAUAGCUGUUUCCUGUGUGAAAUUGUUAUCCGCUCACAAUUCCACACAACAUACGAGCCGGAAGCAUAAAGUGUAAAGCCUGGGGGUGCC